GAUGAACGCUGGCGGCGUGCCUAAUACAUGCAAGUCGAGCGAACGGACGAGAAGCUUGCUUCUCUGAUGUUAGCGGCGGACGGGUGAGUAACACGUGGAUAACCUACCUAUAAGACUGGGAUAACUUCGGGAAACCGGAGCUAAUACCGGAUAAUAUUUUGAACCGCAUGGUUCAAAAGUGAAAGACGGUCUUGCUGUCACUUAUAGAUGGAUCCGCGCUGCAUUAGCUAGUUGUAAGGUAACGGCUUACCAAGGCAACGAUGCAUAGCCGACCUGAGAGGGUGAUCGGCCACACUGGAACUGAGACACGGUCCAGACUCCUACGGGAGGCAGCAGUAGGGAAUCUUCCGCAAUGGGCGAAAGCCUGACGGAGCAACGCCGCGUGAGUGAUGAAGGUCUUCGGAUCGUAAAACUCUGUUAUUAGGGAAGAACAUAUGUGUAAGUAACUGUGCACAUCUUGACGGUACCUAAUCAGAAAGCCACGGCUAACUACGUG
RNAcentral lists this ribosomal RNA (496 nucleotides) under uncultured bacterium. RNAcentral describes it as "partial 16S ribosomal RNA". It matches the Rfam family "Bacterial small subunit ribosomal RNA", at positions 28 to 507 of the family's 1533-position model. The record is from RNAcentral.